This is a non-coding RNA of Macaca mulatta (Rhesus monkey), 1075 nucleotides long. The record is from RefSeq and is a predicted model, not a curated record. Lineage: Eukaryota; Metazoa; Chordata; Mammalia; Primates; Cercopithecidae.
GUGAUAAUUUAUCCACUGAACUAGAAGCACAUGGUUUGCAGAACAUUGGCUACAAUAAGAACAUACUCUGCAUCAGAGAGGGUUCAACAUCAACAACAAUGUCUGCAAAAACAGAAUUACAGCUGUGAAGAAGAGAGAAGGGAUUAAGUCACAAAUGAGGAGCUGCAGUGGCCCAUGAACAAUACAUAGAUCCAUCUCCUGGAACUUGUGACCACUCGCCCAGGAUCGCACUCAUGACCACAACAAAGAUGAUGGCUUUUCUGUUUCUCCUGUUGCACCACAUCAGACACCUGCAGCAAAUACUGAGGCGACACUAUGUGAAGUCUGCCUAGUGACUCUUAGAAACUCCAACUAAUGACUUCUCUGGGAGGGAUAAAGUUGGGCACAUAAAAUUAUCUUGUUGAGAAUACAUGGGUACAUUUAUAGUCUCACAUAUAUUUCAUUUAUAAAUUUAAAAUUAUUUUAGACAGUUACAAUUUUUGGAGUAAAAAUAAGUAGAAUAAUAUCAUUUAAAUAAUACUUUUAAACUUUUUCAUAUUUUUUCUGAAUACCUUGAUUAACAUUUAUUUGGUCACAUUAUUUGUCCCAUUUUUUAAAAAGAAGGACAAUAGGCUAUGAGAAAGUAAGUACAUUUGAGUUCCAAUUAUUCUUAAUAUGUUGUAUCAUAGUAUUUCAUUUGCAACGAAGUCAGUUACACAGCAAACUAACCAACUGCAUAAAUAAAAAUAAUAAUAUGAAACUAGAAAUUGACAUUUGAAACUCUUAACUACCAUCAGUACCAAAUAUACUUUUGGUUAUCUUGUCAAAUUAUAGGGAUGAGUGGCUGAGACCAUGCCGGUAUGUUUGUUAGGGUUGAAUGGAGUGCUAGAGUGUUGCUAUUGGCCUUGAAAUAGAUUGAUUUUUUUUUCUUUUUUUUUUUUGCCUUCUACCUGGGGUCAUGGUCUCUGCCUUACUUGCACAGGGUCCUCAUUAUCAAAGCAGAUUAUCUGACACAUAUUAUACAAUAUGUUAAAUAGCUUACUUUAAAUAUACACACUUUCACCAUAUUCAAACGUGAGUACUCAGAACUUAAAAA